RNAcentral lists this ribosomal RNA (254 nucleotides) under uncultured bacterium. Its description in RNAcentral is "partial 16S ribosomal RNA". It matches the Rfam family "Bacterial small subunit ribosomal RNA", at positions 524 to 776 of the family's 1533-position model. The record is from RNAcentral.
UACGGAGGGUGCAAGCGUUUAUCCGGAUUCACUGGGUUUAAAGGGUGCGUAGGAGGGCAGGGAAGUCCGUGGUGAAAUCCUAGAGCUUAACUCUAGAACUGCCGUGGAUACUCUCUGUCUUGAAUCCCGUGGAGAUGAGCGGAAUAUGUCAUGUAGCGGUGAAAUGCUUAGAUAUGACAUAGAACACCAAUUGCGAAGGCAGCUCGUUACACGAAGAUUGACUCUGAGGCACGAAAGCGUGGGGAUCAAACAGG